Molecule: ribosomal RNA, 402 nt
Filed under: uncultured prokaryote
Description: bacterial SSU rRNA
Rfam family: Bacterial small subunit ribosomal RNA
Source: RNAcentral
UGGGGAAUAUUGGACAAUGGGCGCAAGCCUGAUCCAGCCAUGCCGCGUGAGUGAUGAAGGCCUUAGGGUUGUAAAGCUCUUUCACCCACGACGAUAAUGACGGUAGUGGGCGAAGAAGCCCCGUCUAACUUCGUGCCAGCAGCCGCGGUAAUACGACGGGGGCUAGCGUAGUUCGGAAUCACUGGGCGUAAAGCGUACGUAGGCGGACCGUUAAGUCGGCGGUGAAAUCCUGGGGCUAAACCUCAGAACUGCCUUCGAUACUGGCGGUCUCGAGUCCGGAAGAGGUGGGUGGAACUGGCAGUGUAGAGGUGAAAUUCGUAGAUAUUGGCAAGAACACCAGUGGCGAAGGCGGCUCACUGGUCCGGUACUGACGCUGAGGUACGAAAGCGUGGGGAGCAAACA